UGUAGAACAUUCACUACAUGACUGUAAGAA
This 30-nucleotide non-coding RNA is filed under the name Rattus norvegicus (Norway rat). Lineage: Eukaryota; Metazoa; Chordata; Mammalia; Rodentia; Muridae. The record is from RNAcentral.